GCAAAGUUUCCUUGCUGCCUGAUUGCAAGGGAAGUUAUCUUUACCAGCGUUUCUCAAGUUGCCAUCCUCUUCUAAUUUCUGUUCUCUGUCCAUCAAUAAAACAUGAGCCAUUUAUCUGAAAAAAGAAAGAAGUGUUGCACAAUUGUAUCUAAACUGUCGUGUGGGAAUACUUAUCUGCAGUAGCUCACCUCCCAGAAUGGUCCUUUGCCUCCUUUCUCAUUCAUCUCACAAGCCUUAUGAGCGCGGGAGAUCCCUUCCAUCUACUCCGUGCACCUGUACAUAUAGCAAGCUUUCAGAAGCCUCUGAAAAAUUCUCCAUACAGAAGAUGUUGACAAGGAUCUGCACUGCAUAGAGUAUGUGUAAACAGUGAUGCAAACAGCUGGUGUUACUAGAUAUGGUGAAUUCACAUAAAGAAGCUGGACAUUUGCAAUUUUUUCUAUUCAUAGAGAUUUCCAAUCUGGGAAACAUGUAGGACUGUGGAAUUGUGACUGACACUUCUCUUGGAAUCACUUUGACAUAUCACAAGAUACAAAGCAGCUAUUUGUGACAUCUGUUGGUGAGGGCAGAGCUGAUUAACUGCAAGGCUGGCUACACUGAUGGCAUCAGUCAACAGGCUGUUUUUAAAUGCAGUUGAUGUUUCUCCUCUCUUCCCACCGUCUCAUUUUCAAGAGGAAGGAAGUGCUUUUGGAGGAGCUGAUAUAUUCAAAUCCAGCAGUGAGAUUUCAUCCUGAACGUGGUCUUUUUUCUUGAUGUUCUUUUAUUGUUAAUCUUAAAAUUUUAAUGAGAAGAAAUUUUUUGUUACAGUGAUUACAAAUUAAGUGGGACAAGACGUACGUCUAUGCCAAUCUCACACAGAGUUGUGUUCUGCAGCUUGAUGAGCUUAUGAGGCUGAGUUUAAUGGGCUCUGCUUUCAAUUCACUUGUUCAAGGCGCAGCUUCUAAAUACUAAUCAAGCAUCUCUGAUGGCCCAAAGCAAAAAAAAAAAUUAAAAAGAAAUAAGGAUGGGAAAGGGUGCUGAGGUUGGAAGGAAGGAUCAGAGGGCAAGAAGCUGCAGGUAUUAAGCAUCAGCUAAACAAUUCCUAUUGACUCUGGGCUUCAGUGCGCUAAUAAGAAGGACUGCACGCACUUGUGUCUUUUAACACACAGCAAGACACAAACACAGCUGGGGGACUCAAAGAAGUUGAGAUUUUUGUAAGAUUUCUUCAUUGUUAAACUAUCCUACAAAUGUCUGAGAUAUGACCAGGGGGACUGUAAGAGUCUGUGUGCUAGUUCAGGAGUGUUGCAAUCAAUUUACUUUGCUGUGUUCUAGAGCAGUUUGCUGUUGUAAAAAUAAAUAAGUAAAUAAAUAAAAAGAACCCAAAUGUGAAAAGUAUUCAUGGCUAGAAGACUUUUUUCCCUGAACAAAUAGCAUAGAUAGAAGUCUUGCAGCUUGUCUGACUUAAGUCUCAAUAUACUAGCAGUUAUUUGAGCUAUCAUCUAAUGCAAUUGAUUUGAGUGUAAGUACAUUGUGCAUAAUGGUAUUGUAUUAUUUCGUGUUAUUAAUUAAAUCAUAGCCCAAGUUCUUUUCCAGCCUUAAGAAGUGUUGAACCUGGAUGGUGAAACAUGAAUAUUUGGUACUUACAGAAGACUAUGAUGUUCAUUCAAACUUAUCCUCUGGGAUCUUCUCUACAAAAGUCAUUAACAAUGAAGUUUUUCUAUCCUACCUAAACUUUGCAGCUGAAUAACAGGCAGUCAAAUGUAUCAAUAAAGAGCU
Lagopus muta (rock ptarmigan) is the source of this 1752-nucleotide long non-coding RNA. RefSeq lists it as uncharacterized. NCBI's taxonomy places the organism in Eukaryota, Metazoa, Chordata, Aves, Galliformes, Phasianidae. The record is from RefSeq and is a predicted model, not a curated record. The transcript has 5 exons.